AAUAUUGGACAAUGGGGGAAACCCUGAUCCAGCCAUGCCGCGUGUUUGAAGAAGGUCUUCGGAUUGCAAAGCACUUUACGUUGGGAGGAAGGGCGUCAAGCUAAUACCUUGAUGCUUUGACGUUACCAACCGAAUAAGCACCUGCUAACUCUGUGCCAGCAGCCGCGGUAAUACAGAGGGUGCAAUCGUUAACCGGAAUUACUGGGCGUAAAGCGCGCGUAGGUGGUUUGUUAAGUUGGAAGUGAAAGCCCCGGGCUCAACCUGGGAACUGCUUUCAUAACUGCUGAGCUAGAGUACGGUAGAGGGUAGUGGAAUUUCCUGUGUAGCGGUGAAAUGCGUAGAUAUAGGAAGGAACACCAGUGGCGAAGGCGACUACCUGGACUGAUACUGACACUGAGGUGCGAAAGCGUGGGGAGCAAAC
This 421-nucleotide ribosomal RNA is filed under the name uncultured bacterium. RNAcentral describes it as "partial 16S ribosomal RNA". It matches the Rfam family "Bacterial small subunit ribosomal RNA", at positions 360 to 773 of the family's 1533-position model. The record is from RNAcentral.